Equus asinus (donkey) is the source of this 1603-nucleotide long non-coding RNA. NCBI's taxonomy places the organism in Eukaryota, Metazoa, Chordata, Mammalia, Perissodactyla, Equidae. The record is from Ensembl.
GUUCCAAAUCUGGUGGUUUAUAUUCUGGCCUGUGGGCUCUUAAUGAUCUCUAUUGGCUUUUGAUAUAUAUCAAAUUUUUCAUUCUUAUGAUCUUCUAAGAAAAAAAUACUCAUUUUGAAAGGUAAGACAAAAUAAGUAAAUGUCUUGCUUAAGGAGUCAACCUUAACAUGAAUCUGAGUGAAUGGGAAUCUUUAACUACCUUAAAUUAGUUUUCUUUCCAUAUUAGGUAACAGAUUUAAUAAAAUUUUUAAUAUACAGUAAAAAUUAUACACAUUUUAUAUAAAUUAAUAAUUUCCCCCCUCACCUCCUUGUAAAUGAUUUAACAUUUGUGUUUAGGCAUAUUUACUCUUACACUGCUCUAAUUUCAGUUCAUUUAGUUUACAUAAGGCAUCAUCACAUUUAACAAAAACAUUGAAAAAUCCUAGGUGUGUCUCCUAAGCUCUAAAAUCAUCCUAAGUGCAAUAGAAUUCACUGGUCAAUUUCUGCAUUUCUAACUUUAUCAAUAUAAUACAGAACAGAAAUAAUUUACUGAGGCAGGAAGGAUAAAGAACAGUGAAUUUAAAGUCAGAAGACCCAAGAUGGAAUCCUGGCUCUGUCCCUUAUGAAUCCUUAUCUUGGGUAAGUUAUUUUAUUUAUUUAUCUAUUUAUUUAUUUUUGGAGAGGAAAAUUGUCCCUGAGCUAACAUCUGUGCCAAUCUUCCUCAAUUUUGUAUGUGAGACACUGCCACAACAUGGCUUGAUGGGUGGUGUGUACAUCUGCACUUGGGAUCCGAACCCGCCAACCCUGGGCUGCUGAAGCAGAGUGUGUGAACUUAACCACUAUACCACUGGGCUGGCCCCUGAGUAAGUUACACUUCUGAUAAACUUAGGGUUUCAGUGGACUGCAAUUAAAGGUGAAACAACAGUGCUGAUGACAAAGUUAGUGGAAUCAGGUUGCAUUAACAGAAGUAUCUUAUUCAUAAGAGAUGCACUGUAUUUUGUACCUCAGACCACACUGAGUAUAUUGGGUUCGGUUCUAUACACAAUAUUUUAAAAAGAAUACUGACAAAAUGUAGCAGAUCCAAAGUGGAAUAUCAAGGAUACUGAUGGUCUAGAAUUCAUACUAUGAGAACCAGUGGAAGGACUUGGGUAUGUUUAGCCUAGAGAAAAGAUAUAAAAAGUAUUUUUAGAAGAUACAUCUAGAGCCAAAGGAUGAAGUUAUAUACCAAACUGAAAUCUGCUCUCUUUUGAGAAUUUUACUUUCUAUCAAUUAUUAUUGACAUAAAUGUAAUUUAAAACAUUAAGGAAGAAGUUUAUUACGGUUCUAAUAUUCUGAGGGCUAAAAUAAAAUGAAUACAGAUCAAUUGAAAAAUCAAUUUUUAGAAAAACUCAAUGUAUUUUACUAAGCUGUCUUGUUAAGGAUUUGGAAGACAAAUACUUGAGGACUGGCCCCGUGGCCGAGUGGUUAAGUUCGUGCGCUCCGCUGCAGGCGGCCCAGUGUUUUGUCGGUUCGAAUCCUGGGCGCGGACAUGGCACUGCUCAUCAGACCACGCUGAGGCAGCGUCCCACAUGCCACAACUAGAGGAACCCACAACGAAGAAUACACAACUAUGUACCGGGGGGCU